This 588-nucleotide ribosomal RNA is filed under the name Triticum aestivum (bread wheat). RNAcentral describes it as "partial small subunit ribosomal RNA". The record is from RNAcentral. Lineage: Eukaryota; Viridiplantae; Streptophyta; Magnoliopsida; Poales; Poaceae.
AUGGCGUGGUUCGCAGGAUCAGAAUUGGCGAGGCGACAGAUGAGAGGGAGCACAGUUCAAGCAAAGUGCCUGCCCUGGAGGCUUCAGUUCCUGCUUCUGUCGACAACAAGACUGGAAAUGCUAUUAAUUCAGCAAUUGGCACUAGCUUCGGUUCUGUCGAGGAGGGUACAAAUUUUACAAUCUCUACUCGUGGGAAGUUGGUUUUGGUGUCCGUUACGCAAAAAGCCGUUUGAAUGUACACCGGAAGAAGUGCAUGCAGGAGAUAGUGUGCGCCUGUGCGUGUGCGGGUGUAAACCAUUGCAGGCUAACAGCAGGUCGACUAGGUGUGGGUGCAAAGCGAUGAUGCAGCUGCUGAGAUCAGAUGAUGCUGGCUGGUAUGUGUGCGAGCACAGGUCAGGUCACAUCCAUGAUCUAUCAGUUAACUGUGGAGAGAAAUUGCAUUGGAAGUCACACCGGCACAUAGAUAGUUACACAAGCGACCUGGUUAAGCAACUGAGGGAGAACAAUAUAAGCACUAGCAAAGUUUACAGUGUUGUGGGCAGUUUCUUUGGGACGAUAGAGGACGCACCAUUCACGAAACGGUCCUAA